UACGUAGGGUGCGAGCGUUGUCCGGAAUUAUUGGGCGUAAAGGGCUCGUAGGCGGUUUGUCGCGUCGGGAGUGAAAACACACAGCUUAACUGUGUGCUUGCUUCCGAUACGGGCAGACUAGAGGUAUGCAGGGGAGAACGGAAUUCCUGGUGUAGCGGUGAAAUGCGCAGAUAUCAGGGGGAACACCGGUGGCGAGGCGGUUCUCUGGGCAUUACCUGACGCUGAGGAGCGAAAGUGUGGGGAGCGAACAGG
This 252-nucleotide ribosomal RNA is filed under the name uncultured bacterium. RNAcentral describes it as "partial 16S ribosomal RNA". It matches the Rfam family "Bacterial small subunit ribosomal RNA", at positions 524 to 776 of the family's 1533-position model. The record is from RNAcentral.